This is a ribosomal RNA of 403 nucleotides. It matches the Rfam family "Bacterial small subunit ribosomal RNA", at positions 355 to 774 of the family's 1533-position model.
UGGGGAAUAUUAGGCAAUGGGGGAAACCCUGACCUAGCAACGCCGCGUGAAGGAUGAAGGUUUUCGGAUUGUAAACUUCUUUGAUCAGGGACGAAUACUGACGGUACCUGAAGAACAAGCCCCGGCUAACUACGUGCCAGCAGCCGCGGUAAUACGUAGGGGGCGAGCGUUGUCCGGAUUUACUGGGUGUAAAGGGCGUGUAGGCGGGGUCGCAAGUCAGAUGUGAAAUAUAUGGGCUUAACCCAUACACUGCAUUUGAAACUGUGGCUCUUGAGUGAUGGAGAGGCAGGCGGAAUUCCGAGUGUAGCGGUGAAAUGCGUAGAUAUUCGGAGGAACACCAGUGGCGAAGGCGGCCUGCUGGACAUUAACUGACGCUGAGGCGCGAAAGCGUGGGGAGCAAACA